RNAcentral lists this ribosomal RNA (466 nucleotides) under Treponema sp. oral taxon 257. Its description in RNAcentral is "bacterial SSU rRNA". It matches the Rfam family "Bacterial small subunit ribosomal RNA", at positions 29 to 483 of the family's 1533-position model. Lineage: Bacteria; Pseudomonadati; Spirochaetota; Spirochaetia; Treponematales; Treponemataceae. The record is from RNAcentral.
AACGAACGCUGGCGGCGCGUCUUAAGCAUGCAAGUCGAACGGCAAGAUACUUUCGGGUAUCCUAGAGUGGCGGACUGGUGAGUAACGCGUGGAUGACGUACCCUCGUGACGGGGAUAGCCGGUAGAAAUACCGGGUAAUACCGGAUAAGGUCUCACGGAGUAAAGGCGUGAGAGGAAAGCAGCGUAUGCUGCGCAGGAGGAACGGUCUGCGGCCUAUCAGCUGGUUGGCAGGGUAAAGGCCUACCAAGGCGACGACGGGUAUCCGGCCUGAGAGGGUGAACGGACACAUUGGGACUGAGAUACGGCCCAGACUCCUACGGGAGGCAGCAGCUAAGAAUAUUCCGCAAUGGGGGGAACCCUGACGGAGCGACGCCGCGUGGACGAUGAAGGUCGGAAGAUUGUAAAGUCCUUUUAUACAUGAAGAAGAAGUUAUACAGGAAAUGGUAUAAUGGUGACGGUAGUGUAU